UACGUAGGGGGCAAGCGUUGUCCGGAAUCAUUGGGCGUAAAGAGCGUGUAGGCGGUCCAGUAAGUCCGCUGUGAAAGUCAAGGGCUCAACCCUUGAAUGCCGGUGGAUACUGCUGGACUAGAGUCCGGAAGAGGCGAGUGGAAUUCCUGGUGUAGCGGUGAAAUGCGCAGAUAUCAGGAGGAACACCGAUGGCGAAGGCAGCUCGCUGGGACGGUACUGACGCUGAGGCACGAAAGCGUGGGGAGCAAACAGG
RNAcentral lists this ribosomal RNA (253 nucleotides) under uncultured bacterium. RNAcentral describes it as "partial 16S ribosomal RNA". It matches the Rfam family "Bacterial small subunit ribosomal RNA", at positions 524 to 776 of the family's 1533-position model. The record is from RNAcentral.